This 460-nucleotide ribosomal RNA is filed under the name uncultured bacterium. Its description in RNAcentral is "partial 16S ribosomal RNA". It matches the Rfam family "Bacterial small subunit ribosomal RNA", at positions 338 to 795 of the family's 1533-position model. The record is from RNAcentral.
CCUACGGGCGGCAGCAGUGAGGAAUAUUGGUCAAUGGCCGGAAGGCUGAACCAGCCAUGCUGCGUGAAGGUCAGUGCCCUAUGGGCGUUAAACUUCUUUUGUGCGGGAGCAAUAAUGGUCACGUGUGGCCAGACGAGAGUACCGUACGAAUAAGCAUCGGCUAACUCCGUGCCAGCAGCGGCGGUAAUACGGGGGAUGCAAGCGUUAUCCGGAUUGAUGGGGUUUAAAGGGUGCGUAGGCUUGGAGGUAAGUCAGCGGUGAAAUGCCCCCGCUCAACGGGGUGAAGUGCCAUUGAUACUGCCUUGCUGGAAUGCGGAUGCCGUGGGAGGAAUGUGUGGUGUAGCGGUGAAAUGCAUAGAUAUCACACAGAACACCGAUUGCGAAGGCAUCUCACGAAUCCGCGAUUGACGCUGAUGCACGAAAGCGUGGGUAUCAAACAGGAUUAGAUACCCGAGUAGUC